GACGAACGCUGGCGGCGCGCCUAACACAUGCAAGUCGAACGGAAUCAAGAGGAGCUUGCUUUUCUUGAUUUAGUGGCGAACGGGUGAGUAACGCGUGAGUAACCUGCCCUGGAGUGGGGGACAACAGUUGGAAACGACUGCUAAUACCGCAUAAGCCCACGGUACCGCAUGGUACUGAGGGAAAAGGAUUUAUUCGCUUCAGGAUGGACUCGCGUCCAAUUAGCUAGUUGGUGAGGUAACGGCCCACCAAGGCGACGAUUGGUAGCCGGACUGAGAGGUUGAACGGCCACAUUGGGACUGAGACACGGCCCAGACUCCUACGGGAGGCAGCAGUGGGGGAUAUUGCACAAUGGGGGAAACCCUGAUGCAGCGACGCCGCGCGGAGGAAGAAGGUUUUCGGAUUGUAAACUCCUGUCGUUAGGGACGAUAAUGACGGUACCUAACAAGAAAGCACCGGCUAACUACGUGCCAGCAGCCGCCGUAA
RNAcentral lists this ribosomal RNA (484 nucleotides) under uncultured bacterium. RNAcentral's name for it is "partial 16S ribosomal RNA". It matches the Rfam family "Bacterial small subunit ribosomal RNA", at positions 28 to 523 of the family's 1533-position model. The record is from RNAcentral.